UUAACUUAUUAUAUAGUACUCAGACGACAUAUAACACAGAAUUGGGGGGCUUUUGGCAGGCACGACACGGGCGAGCCCGGACGCCCCAUGGUGAGGGCAACCUGCCAAAGCAACAAUAGUAAUUAAACAGGGUGGGAGGUCUACCCCGAAGGGCAUGAACUCUGUAAUGAUCCUUCCGCUGGUUCACCAACGGAAA
RNAcentral lists this unclassified non-coding RNA (196 nucleotides) under uncultured fungus. Its description in RNAcentral is "sequence contains ITS1". Lineage: Eukaryota; Fungi. The record is from RNAcentral.